This 466-nucleotide ribosomal RNA is filed under the name uncultured Bacillota bacterium. Its description in RNAcentral is "bacterial SSU rRNA". It matches the Rfam family "Bacterial small subunit ribosomal RNA", at positions 338 to 795 of the family's 1533-position model. Lineage: Bacteria; Bacillati; Bacillota. The record is from RNAcentral.
CCUACGGGCGGCAGCAGUGGGGAAUUUUCGGCAAUGGGCGAAAGCCUGACCGAGCAAUGCCGCGUGAAUGAUGAAGAUCUUCGGAUUGUAAAGUUCUGUUGUUAGGGAAGAACAUAUUGACGAGUGGAAAGCGUCAAUACUGACGGUACCUAACUAGAAAGCCCCGGCUAAAUAUGUGCCAGCAGCCGCGGUAAUACAUAUGGGGCGAGCGUUAUCCGGAAUUAUUGGGCGUAAAGCGUGCGUAGGCGGUUUGUUAAGUCUGAUGUGAAAUUUCACGGCUUAACCGUGAAGGGUCAUUGGAAACUGGCAAACUUGAGUACGGUAGGGGUAAGUGGAAUUCCAAGUGGAGCGGUGGAAUGCGUAGAGAUUUGGAGGAACACCAGUGGCGAAGGCGGCUUACUGGGCCGGAACUGACGCUGAUGCACGAAAGCGUGGGGAGCAAACAGGCUUAGAUACCCGGGUAGUC